Molecule: ribosomal RNA, 447 nt
Filed under: uncultured bacterium
Lineage: Bacteria
Description: bacterial SSU rRNA
Rfam family: Bacterial small subunit ribosomal RNA
Source: RNAcentral
UGGGGAAUCUUGGACAAUGGGCGCAAGCCUGAUCCAGCCAUGCCGCGUGAGUGAUGAAGGCCUUAGGGUUGUAAAGCUCUUUUGCCGGGGACGAUAAUGACGGUACCCGGAGAAGAAGCCUCGGCUAACUCCGUGCCAGCAGCCGCGGUAAGACGGAGGAGGCUAGCGUUGUUCGGAAUUACUGGGCGUAAAGCGCAUGAAGGUGGUGAAGUAAGCCGGAUGUGAAAUCCCAGGGCUUAACCCUGGAAGUGCAUCCGGGACUGCUUUGCUCGAGUCCGGAAGAGGAGGGCGGAAUUCCCAGUGUAGAGGUGAAAUUCGUAGAUAUUGGGAAGAACACCAGUGGCGAAGGCGGCUCUCUGGUCCGGUACUGACACUUUAGUGCGAAAGCGUGGGGAGCAAACAGGAUUAGAUACCCUCGUAGUCCCUGAGCGGGCUGGCAAGGCGCAU